RNAcentral lists this ribosomal RNA (387 nucleotides) under uncultured bacterium. RNAcentral's name for it is "bacterial SSU rRNA". It matches the Rfam family "Bacterial small subunit ribosomal RNA", at positions 30 to 417 of the family's 1533-position model. The record is from RNAcentral.
AUUGAACGCUGGCGGCAUGCCUUACACAUGCAAGUCGAACGGUAACGCGGGGGCAACCCUGGCGACGAGUGGCGAACGGGUGAGUAAUACAUCGGAACAUAUCCAGUAGCGGGGGAUAACCUAUCGAAAGAUUGGCUAAUACCGCAUACGAUCUACGGAUGAAAGCGGGGGACCGCAAGGCCUCGCACUAUUGGAGUGGCCGAUGUCAGAUUAGCUAGUUGGUGGGGUAAAAGCCUACCAAGGCGACGAUCUGUAGCUGGUCUGAGAGGACGAUCAGCCACACUGGAACUGAGACACGGUCCAGACUCCUACGGGAGGCAGCAGUGGGGAAUUUUGGACAAUGGGCGCAAGCCUGAUCCAGCCAUGCCGCGUGAGUGAAGAAGGCCU